RNAcentral lists this ribosomal RNA (1500 nucleotides) under uncultured bacterium. RNAcentral's name for it is "bacterial SSU rRNA". It matches the Rfam family "Bacterial small subunit ribosomal RNA". The record is from RNAcentral.
GACGAACGCUGGCGGCGUGCCUAAUACAUGCAAGUAGAACGCUGAAGAGAGGAGCUUGCUCUUCUUGGAUGAGUUGCGAACGGGUGAGUAACGCGUAGGUAACCUGCCUUGUAGCGGGGGAUAACUAUUGGAAACGAUAGCUAAUACCGCAUAACAAUGGAUGACACAUGUCAUUUAUUUGAAAGGGGCAAUUGCUCCACUACAAGAUGGACCUGCGUUGUAUUAGCUAGUAGGUGAGGUAAUGGCUCACCUAGGCGACGAUACAUAGCCGACCUGAGAGGGUGAUCGGCCACACUGGGACUGAGACACGGCCCAGACUCCUACGGGAGGCAGCAGUAGGGAAUCUUCGGCAAUGGGGGCAACCCUGACCGAGCAACGCCGCGUGAGUGAAGAAGGUUUUCGGAUCGUAAAGCUCUGUUGUAAGUCAAGAACGGGUGUGAGAGUGGAAAGUUCACACUGGACGGGUAGCUUACCAGAAAGGGACGGCUAACUACGUGCCAGCAGCCGCGGUAAUACGUAGGUCCCGAGCGUUGUCCGGAUUUAUUGGGCGUAAAGCGAGCGCAGGCGGUUUGAUAAGUCUGAAGUUAAAGGCUGUGGCUCAACCAUAGUUCGCUUUGGAAACUGUCAAACUUGAGUGCAGAAGGGGAGAGUGGAAUUCCAUGUGUAGCGGUGAAAUGCGUAGAUAUAUGGAGGAACACCGGUGGCGAAAGCGGCUCUCUGGUCUGUAACUGACGCUGAGGCUCGAAAGCGUGGGGAGCGAACAGGAUUAGAUACCCUGGUAGUCCACGCCGUAAACGAUGAGUGCUAGGUGUUGGAUCCUUUCCGGGAUUCAGUGCCGCAGCUAACGCAUUAAGCACUCCGCCUGGGGAGUACGACCGCAAGGUUGAAACUCAAAGGAAUUGACGGGGGCCCGCACAAGCGGUGGAGCAUGUGGUUUAAUUCGAAGCAACGCGAAGAACCUUACCAGGUCUUGACAUCCCGAUGCUAUUUCUAGAGAUAGAAAGUUACUUCGGUACAUCGGUGACAGGUGGUGCAUGGUUGUCGUCAGCUCGUGUCGUGAGAUGUUGGGUUAAGUCCCGCAACGAGCGCAACCCCUAUUGUUAGUUGCCAUCAUUCAGUUGGGCACUCUAGCGAGACUGCCGGUAAUAAACCGGAGGAAGGUGGGGAUGACGUCAAAUCAUCAUGCCCCUUAUGACCUGGGCUACACACGUGCUACAAUGGUUGGUACAACGAGUUGCGAGUCGGUGACGGCGAGCUAAUCUCUUAAAGCCAAUCUCAGUUCGGAUUGUAGGCUGCAACUCGCCUACAUGAAGUCGGAAUCGCUAGUAAUCGCGGAUCAGCACGCCGCGGUGAAUACGUUCCCGGGCCUUGUACACACCGCCCGUCACACCACGAGAGUUUGUAACACCCGAAGUCGGUGAGGUAACCUUUUGGAGCCAGCCGCCUAAGGUGGGACAGAUGAUUGGGGUGAAGUCGUAACAAGGUAGCCGUAUCGGAAGG